GUCUACGGCCAUGCCACCCUGAACAAGCCCAAUCCCGUCUGAUCUCAGAAGCUAAACAGGUUAGUACUUGGAUGGGGGACCACCUAGGAAGACCAGGGGCUGUAGGCG
Molecule: ribosomal RNA, 108 nt
Filed under: Pteropus alecto (black flying fox)
Lineage: Eukaryota; Metazoa; Chordata; Mammalia; Chiroptera; Pteropodidae
Source: RNAcentral